GAGAGACAGAGAAGCCCUGGAGCAAAACCUUUGUCCCGCAGGGGAUGGAUCCUAGAAAACCCAAGGCCGGUUGGGGUGGAGAACUACGUCCGGAGAACCAACUCUUGGAACUGAUUUGAGUUGAACCAACAGAUCCCCCAGGUUGAACCCCUCCGCCGGGCUGAAUUUAGCAGCAGGAGAGAUAACCGGGAGAUAAGGGCUGAUACCCGGCAGGACAGCGGGAGAGCGGCCGAGGGAAGGGGGAGAAGCUGGAAGACGAGUCCUGCAGUGCUUCAGGAGCGGAAACAGAAGAAUUUCGAUGGAGAGCGGUUACAGCUCUGCGAGCAGCACCGCCAGGAGCAGAGAUCUCAAGGAUCCCCUUUGGCUUUGGCUUUCCGAAUGACAACAAAACAGAGCCACGGAAAGCAGAACCCGGACCCACGUCCCCGUGCGGGCAAAGCUCCGCAGCGCCGAGCAUCGAAAACGCUGCGGGGGCGAAGGAGCGGACGGGAGGGGGGGGGGGGCGAAACUGAGCUCCUGUCGUACCCCGAAAACAUUCGUAUAUCUUCACCGUUAUAACUAAAAACGAAAGCAGAAGUCGGGAAUGCGGCGGAGCGCGGGGAAAGUCAAUCGAUCGAUUAGCGAAGAAAUCAAUAAACGAAGGAGUAAAUCUCGGAGUGAAUCGCUGCGAUUGCGGGGAGCGCUGUACCGAAAAGAAAUCGCGGCGCCGCAAACGAAACGGAGCCGAAGUGCGCUCCGGGCAACGAACCGCG
This 752-nucleotide long non-coding RNA is filed under the name Gallus gallus (chicken). Lineage: Eukaryota; Metazoa; Chordata; Aves; Galliformes; Phasianidae. The record is from RNAcentral.